UAAAAUAGAACAAAUUGAAAACGAAAUAAUAUGCAUUUGUGAUAGCACGAUACAGAAAAGGUCUAUGCACAGCAUUUAACCGAAAAUUGGAAAUGUAAAAACACGAAUCGUAAAGCGUAGUUCUCCCGACAAACGUAGCCUAACAUUAAACGUGACUGUGCUAUAAGUUAUGUGCGGAUUCAGUGUAAGGCAAGUUGCUUAACUUGUUUAAAAGGAAAUAAACUUUAUUUAAUGCCAUAACGACCUUCUUCAAAGAAGAUUGCGAGGCUGAAAACCAUAUUGGAAGUCCAUAAUCGAAAAUUAGUAAUUAAAAAAAAGCUCGGUCUUGGUACCGAUCUUGAUGCAAAGCUGUGACAGUUUCUCCACAGAAUAUCACGUUUAACGGCUAAAGCUUUAAUUGCCCUUUCAACACGAUUAUUAAAAGUUAUUUUUCCAUCAGACACAAUUCCUAUUUUGUGUUUUACGAUGACAAACAUGAGCCGUAGUAGCAACUCUAUACGAAAGCAGAAACUAACG
This is a long non-coding RNA of Centruroides sculpturatus (bark scorpion), 516 nucleotides long. RefSeq lists it as uncharacterized. The record is from RefSeq and is a predicted model, not a curated record. Lineage: Eukaryota; Metazoa; Arthropoda; Arachnida; Scorpiones; Buthidae. The transcript is spliced from 3 exons.